RNAcentral lists this ribosomal RNA (494 nucleotides) under uncultured bacterium. RNAcentral's name for it is "partial 16S ribosomal RNA". It matches the Rfam family "Bacterial small subunit ribosomal RNA", at positions 28 to 507 of the family's 1533-position model. The record is from RNAcentral.
GACGAACGCUGGCGGCGUGCUUAACACAUGCAAGUCGAACGGUGAAGCGCCUUCCUUUUUGGUGGGUGUGGAUGAGUGGCGAACGGGUGAGUAACACGUGAGUAACCUGCCCCCUUCUUCUGGAUAACCGCAUGAAAGUGUGGCUAAUACGGGAUAUUCUGGGUCUGUCGCAUGAUGGGUCUGGGAAAGAUAUUGUUUCGGUGGGGGAUGGGCUCGCGGCCUAUCAGCUUGUUGGUGGGGUGAUGGCCUACCAAGGCGGUGACGGGUAGCCGGCCUGAGAGGGUGGACGGUCACACUGGGACUGAGACACGGCCCAGACUCCUACGAGAGGCAGCAGUGGGGAAUAGUGCACAAUGGGCGCAAGCCUGAUGCAGCGACGCCGCGUGAGGGAUGGAGGCCUUCGGGUUGUGAACCUCUUUCGCCAGUGAAGCAGACCUGCCUCGUUUGUGGGUGGGUUGACGGUAGCUGGAUAAGAAGCGCCGGCUAACUACGUG